CUGAUCCAGUACUUGAUGCAGGAGUUCACAACCCUGCCUGUGGCAUGAGGAUUGAAACUUGAUCCUUGAGGUCUCUUCCAACCCAAGCUAUUCUAUGAUUCUAUAUUUGUAUGAUGGAAACUUAGUUCUACUUCAGGAGACAUGUUAGCAGUUGGAUAUUAUGUCGUCAACAGUGUUCACCAUAAACAGGUUUGUAGUCAAAAUGUCUGCAGCAAGUGGGAGUUUUGGACAGAGGAAGGCCCUCCAUAGGGCUCCCUCAUCUGACUACAUCUUUGCCAUUUCGCCUGUUGUCAUGGAGAUGAUCUUAUCCUGUAAAUGCUUGAGACAAUUCUCAGCAUACCACAGAUAAAAUGUUUUUCCUUGGUCUGCUGUAACCUACCCCAUGGCUCAAACACUCCACAGACCAUGGUGAUCUGAAUAUAGCAGACAGAGUAAAUGAAGAGAAAGGAUGAGGAGGGGGAAUAAAAGAGAAAAUAUUUUGGAACUUGUAUAACUUAUGACAAUAUUAUGUUAAUCAUUACAGACAGAAAAAUAACCUAAGAUCAUAGUUUUAGUAUUUACAUUUGUAUUUUCCCCCACCCCAUGAAUCUGAAAGAAAUUAACGGGCAGUCAGUCCAGGAUCUAAGAGAUAAGUCCGAAAAUUGCAUAGCUUCAAACAAUUGAUUGGUCUUUUCCAUGAUUUCUCAUCUUAGCACAGUCCUCCACACCACGGCUCAAACAUCUCAUAAUUCAUCUUCAGUUAUGCUGAUUAGUACAUAAUGCCCAAAAAAUAAGAAAGUGAACAAACAAGCACAGCCUUUACACAUAAAAUAACAAUAUAAAAUAGAAGUAACACAGUAAUGAUUACAUUUUCCAUUUCUCCUUUGUGUGAAAGUCCAAAAGAAUGUAAGAUUUGUAUGUUGAAUAAUGUCCUGAAUGUAAUUAAGAUCAUCUUUGAUGGCAACUGAUUCAUUGGUUGCAUUAAAACAAUGCAUCACUGCAAAAUCUUGACAUCUGUGAUUAUGUCACAAUAGCAAAUAAUCUAUUAUCAAUCAAUUUUGUAAAAUUUGUCACUUUGUCACACUUCCCUCAUAUCCUUAUUAAGUGAUGCAAUCACUUUUGAGAUCCAAUUAAAUCCUUAUUGCCAAAUCGUAUGACACAUCUUCCAGCUGCCUAUAGUUAUGUCAGGUUAGAUUUCACAGUGAAGUUUUUUACUGAGAGAGUGAUGAUGGCUGUAACAGGCUACCUGCAGAGGUUGUGGAUGCCCCAUUCCUUGAAGUGUUUAAGGCUAGGUUGGAUGGGACCCUGAGCAAUCUGAUCUAGUACUUGAUCGAGUGGUUAGCAGCCCUGCCUGUGGCAGGAUGGUUAGAACUUGAUAACCCCUGAGGUCCCUUCCAACCCAGGCCAUUCUAUGAUGUACCACCAAUCUUGGGACCCUUAUCAAACUUAGCAUUAAUCCUGAUGCCUACCCAUCAGAAAAUAAAUUGACAUAAGUAUUACAAGAAUCAUCUGGAAUAUGUUCUGGAAACCUUUUCCUUGUAGCUAGGUAAUGGAGGGUAUUCAGAUUGUAAUUGAAUAAUAAUUUCACCAAUUG
This 1573-nucleotide long non-coding RNA is filed under the name Gallus gallus (chicken). Lineage: Eukaryota; Metazoa; Chordata; Aves; Galliformes; Phasianidae. The record is from RNAcentral.